Molecule: non-coding RNA, 118 nt
Organism: Cordylochernes scorpioides
Lineage: Eukaryota; Metazoa; Arthropoda; Arachnida; Pseudoscorpiones; Chernetidae
Source: the annotation of a GenBank genome assembly
ACUAUCAUGUGAUCUGAAAACACCGGUUCUCUUCCGAUCACCGAAGUUAAGCAAUGUUGGGUCCGGUCAGUACUUGGGAGGGUGACCACCUGGGAACAUAGGGUGUGCGCUGAAGGUC